CCUCCACUUCUCCUCCCCACCCCCCAUUUUCCCCCACUUGCUCCAGCCUCACCCAGGCUUGCUUUUGCUUAGUAACUACACUAGUAGUAGGAGCACUUCACUUUCUCCACCAAUCCCAUUUCCAUUUUCCCCUUCUCUCCCAGCCCCGAGACCCCCCAGAGAAUUCUUGACACAAAAGUUAAAACAAACCCAAAAGGGGAAAAUGAAAAUAAAUACUAGUAGUACUAGUACCAUCAAUUAAAACUCUAAUGCUCAUUCCAUUUAAUCCAUCCAUCAGUUAAACGAGUUUAAAUUGGAGAAAAGAUAUAGGAAAAAGAAAAAAAGAUCCAGCUUACAGGGAAAGAAGCAAAGGUGCUUGGAAAUCUGUCAAUCUAGUACUAGUGCUAUAUUUGUACUAAAUGUCUUCGACGCCACCAACGACCAUGCCGCCGGCGUCUACCGCACCGGCUGCAGUGGCGGUGCCGGCAACGGCGGCGGCUACUACGACGACGACGACGACCACCGCCACCACCCCCAGUGGGGCGGGACCUGCCUUGACUGCGCCUGAGAGGGUCCCAGUGGAGCGGUCUAAAGGGAUCAAUGGCCUUGAUAAAAUCGUCCUCCGGGAAGUCCGCGGCAGCUCCGCUGAGGUGUACCUGUAUGGGGGUCACGUGACAUCUUGGAAGAAUGACCAUGGAGAGGAGUUGCUCUUUCUCAGUAGCAAGGCUAUAUUCAAACCUCCAAAGGCCAUUCGUGGAGGCAUUCCAAUAUGCUUCCCUCAAUUCUCGAAUCUUGGCUCUCUGGAGCAGCAUGGAUUUGCUAGAAACAGGUUUUGGACCAUUGAUACUGACCCCCCUCCUUUUCCAACUGGCACCCCUCCUAAGGCUUUCGUUGACUUGAUUCUUAAGCCUACUGAUGAAGACUUGAAGAUUUGGUCUCACAGUUUUGAGUUUCGCUUGAGGAUUAGUUUGUCACCUGCCGGUGACUUGAUGUUGACAUCCCGCAUCAGAAAUACCAACUCUGAUGGGAAGCCCUUCACCUUUACAUUUGCAUAUCACACCUAUUUCUCAGUUUCAGAUAUCAGUGAAGUUCGUGUUGAAGGAUUGGAGACUCUGGAUUAUCUUGAUAAUUUGCAGAAUAAGGAGCGAUUUACUGAACAAGGGGAUGCAAUAACUUUUGAAUCUGAAGUGGACAAGAUCUACCUUGGAACACCUACAAAGAUUGCAAUCCUGGAUCAUGAAAAGAAAAGAACAUUUGUCUUGCGUAAAGAUGGACUUCCUGAUGCUGAGUUUGUGUUCUUAUAAACUUUCAAGGUUGAGAAUUCUCGCAUUACAACCCCCCACGCUAAUCCGAUGUUCUGGUCCUUUUCUGGGAAAGUAAUUAGCUGUUGCAUCUUUGUGGAUUUUCUUUGUACAGUGGUGUGGAAUCCUUGGGAGAAGAAAGCAAAGGCGAUGGCUGAUUUUGGGGACGAGGAAUACAAGCAUAUGCUAUGUGUGGAGGCGGCUGCUGUUGAAAAGCCAAUCACUUUAAGGCCUGGUGAGGAGUGGAGAGGAAGGCAAGAGCUUUCUGCUGUUCCUUCAAGUUACUGCAGUGGGCAGCUUGAUCCUCGGAGAGUUCUUCAGGGCAGCUAAAAAAUGGGUUGUGCUAAUUCAUAUGAUGUACAGGUGCUGAGUUGAAGUAUACUGUUGGGAGUGCAAUGGCUACCUCUGUCCCAGACUCUUUCCUGUGUUAUCCUUGGUUAAUUUUGUUUACCUUGGGUAGGAGGUUGGAGAAACUGUCUAAUAAUCUUUUGAGUAUUUGGAUACGAGACUGUUUGGAUGCCAAUCCUGUUAUAUAUUUAGGAAAGGCAGCAAGUCGGGUCCUUGCGUAAUCAGGGGUGUCUGAACUCUUAACCUGAUUAUUUAUGUUUUAACCGAACUCUUGAGUUGGGACCCGAUUGGAUGAAGCUAUUAUUAUCAUUCAUGAAUUUAGCUGCUUUUGAGUAGGGUUGUAUCUAUUUGCACGCUGAGGAACUUAUCUCAAGCAGCGUAGAAAUUUGACUGCAUCAAAUCGGGCCUUUAAAUUGAGGUAUUGAAGAGGUGCAGAAAAUAAUAUUAAUGUGUAUAUUGUC
Molecule: non-coding RNA, 2089 nt
Organism: Coffea arabica (coffee)
Lineage: Eukaryota; Viridiplantae; Streptophyta; Magnoliopsida; Gentianales; Rubiaceae
Source: RefSeq, a predicted model, not a curated record